AGAGUUUGAUCCUGGCUCAGGAUGAACGCUGGCGGCGUGCUUAACACAUGCAAGUCGAACGAUGAUCUCCAGCUUGCUGGGGGGAUUAGUGGCGAACGGGUGAGUAACACGUGAGUAACCUGCCCUUAACUCUGGGAUAAGCCUGGGAAACUGGGUCUAAUACCGGAUAUGACUCCUCAUCGCAUGGUGGGGGGUGGAAAGCUUUUUGUGGUUUUGGAUGGACUCGCGGCCUAUCAGCUUGUUGGUGAGGUAAUGGCUCACCAAGGCGACGACGGGUAGCCGGCCUGAGAGGGUGACCGGCCACACUGGGACUGAGACACGGCCCAGACUCCUACGGGAGGCAGCAGUGGGGAAUAUUGCACAAUGGGCGAAAGCCUGAUGCAGCGACGCCGCGUGAGGGAUGACGGCCUUCGGGUUGUAAACCUCUUUCAGUAGGGAAGAAGCGAAAGUGACGG
Molecule: ribosomal RNA, 455 nt
Filed under: Arthrobacter sp. RHF86
Lineage: Bacteria; Bacillati; Actinomycetota; Actinomycetes; Micrococcales; Micrococcaceae
Description: bacterial SSU rRNA
Rfam family: Bacterial small subunit ribosomal RNA
Source: RNAcentral